AGCUGCGGGACCGCGCGUCGGCGGGGAGCGCGGCCUCCCUCGCGGGCCACGGCGCAGUACGCACGCGCGGCCGAUUUCAAAUCCUCACUAGACAGCGCCGCCUUGGUUACCGCGCCUGCGCGCCGUGCUGCUCGGAAAGCGGCGCGACUGGGCGGGACGAAGAGAGGCAGCGGCGACCAUUCCAGACCCGGGCUGGGCUGCGCGGAGGGGACGCCGCGGCGCCCAGGCUGGACGUGCGCACAUGCGCGCCGGAGUCCUGGCGGCUGCCUCACCUCGCCGCGCGUGCGCAUAACUCCUGCUGUCGCCAAUGGAAGUUCCCCGCGUCCCAAUGCAGGCCGCGGGUGCUGUGUGGUGGUUCCUCUCCCAGAGUUCUCGAGGCUGGGCUUCAGGGAAGGAACUGCAACCAGCACUGCGAAAGAGAACUUGCAAAGUUAAUUUCUUUGUCUUGUAGAGAUAAGCAGUUUCUCCAGACUUCGUCUUGCUGCUCAUUAUAACCAACUGCCCCUCUGGCUCGCCUCAGCCCAAGAAGUGACAGAGUGUGCAGAUGGCAGCCCCAGGAGGAUGGAGCCCAGUUUCCUUUCCACGAGAGAAGGAUGUGGUGGUGUACUCCUGCAGUCCCAGCACUUGGGGGGCUGAGGCAGAUUGCUUCAAGGCUGAGGCAGAUUGCCAUAAAUUCAGGCCAGCCUGAACUACAUAAUGAGUUCAAGGCAAGCCUGAGCUACAUAGCUCGACCCUGUCCCAAAAAAACAAACAAACUUCAAAUGUUUUAGGAUGCUGACUACAGAAUGGACAGGACUAAGCUUCUCAGUGACUCCAGUUCAAUGAUGGCGAACCCUGUUGACCUUUCAGUGAUAGAGUCUGGCGAGCAGGUUCACUGUUGGUCUAGAUAAACAGCCACUUGUUCCAAUCUUUGAUAUUGCUCAAAUGUGGCAACCAGGGCUUAUGACACUAACCCCAAUCCCCUGUUGAAGCCCCUCCAACAUGGGCCAUGUUCUGACUCACCAUCACCUGAGAAGGCUGCCUGGCACCCAGGGACAAGGCACAGGCGGUUAAUUUGCAAAGGCUUCAGAAAAGAGGAAGAGGAGAGAGCUGUGAGCACCAAAGAGUCACCUGUGUGUCAGCCCCCCACGCCCCCAAAUCAGUAGAGCUGCAGAGGUUGUGAAAGGGGAUCUCAUGCACGAUUGUCUACAAGCAGAAAGGCCCUUCUUCUGGCGAGUGUAAAGGUUGCCUCUCUCUCGGCUUUGGCUUUGGUUUGUAUUUGACUUCAAUGUUUGGUGAUGCUUUUUGAUGCUCAAGCAUCCAGCUUUCCUUUGCUUGUGCUUCAGCUACCUUUGAUGGACUCUAUGUGCCAGUCCAAGGUGGGACAGCCAGCCUGAUGAUGUGGCACCUCAGGGCGCUCAAGACUGAGGGCAGAAAUAAGCAAGGGGGAAAUUGAAACUACCACUGCAAAAUGGAGCCUUAAAGUUAGCUUUUGUUUCUUGUAGAGAUAAUCAAGUUCUCCAUAAUCCCUCCUACUCAGCACAUAAGCAGCACCCCAGCCUCUCUUCAGCCCAAAGAAGGGACAGAAUAUGCAGAUCCCACAGGAGGCGGGAGGCUGAGUUCCUUUCCACAAGAAAGAGGAACCAACCAAGAUGACCGGAAGUGAUAAAGCAAGUGCGCACAUCCAAAAUGUCUCCCUGUGUCGCCCACCCUGCUAUUCCUUAGGAUAAAGGACCCUUACCCAGCUGAACAAGGAGAUGGUGGUUUGAGGCAUAUGGGCCCUACUGUCUCCUUAGAGAUAGCUUGGCAAAAAAUCUUUUUUCCUCUUUUCACCAAAAUACCUGGCCGCCUUCAAUCUGGUCAGCCGCAGGCAAAGGAACCUAAGCGUAUAAUCCUAAGUGGCCGGCCAGUAACACUUCAGGACAGUGACAUGGCGGAAUCUUCUUUGGGCGGGCCUUCUGUUUCCUCUUUUGGGCAAAAUCAAGGAGAGCUUCUGAGUUCAGGCCCCAGUUCUGCCUCCCCACGACCGUCAGGCAGCCCCUGCCCCGGAGGACCAGCGGCUGCAAGACCCACAGGGCCCAAACGUGCUGACCACAUGGGCAGAUGCGGCAUCCCUGUGUGCAUUUGCCCUGCCUGCAGCUUGUCUGUGCCCAGCCUCAGGCCCCAGUGCUGGACCCUGUUCUUUUUGUGCAGAACAGAGCAAAGAGUAUUUUAAAAGCUGUCCUCCUGGUCUACACCUCAGAUGAGCAGACGCGACUCAGUACCUGACACUUCGAGUACUGCACAGGCAUGAAAAUGCACGCAGCUCAUGCCAAGGCCUCUGGGCAAGCAAUGUUAACAAAAAAUCAGACGUCUGGGGACAGACUUUCUAGCACCUGUAUAUUGUACGUGUGGAAAUUAUGACCAAGGAUCAGAACUUGUGUGUUCAAUAAACUAUGGAAAAUCA
Molecule: non-coding RNA, 2425 nt
Organism: Heterocephalus glaber (naked mole-rat)
Lineage: Eukaryota; Metazoa; Chordata; Mammalia; Rodentia; Bathyergidae
Source: RefSeq, a predicted model, not a curated record